Molecule: non-coding RNA, 305 nt
Organism: Pelobates cultripes (western spadefoot toad)
Lineage: Eukaryota; Metazoa; Chordata; Amphibia; Anura; Pelobatidae
Source: the annotation of a GenBank genome assembly
CCCAUACCACACUCCCCUUUACUUAUAAACAUCUUGAGCGGGUGGUAUUUACAAGUCUAACUAACUUUUUCAAUAUUAUCUCCUUGACUCUCUUCAAUCUAGCUAAUGCUCCCUCCAUUCUACUGAAGCUGCCCUUACCAAAGUGACUAAACUUAAUCACUGCAAAAUCACUUGCUCCCCACUUCCUCUCUCAAUAACCUUAGUAACUAAUUUUUAUUUUAUUACCAUCUAUAUGCUGAUGAUACUCAGGUUUUCCUUUCCUCCCCUAACCUCUCUUCUGCUCUUCUGGAAAGCAUCACAAACUG